Molecule: ribosomal RNA, 460 nt
Filed under: uncultured beta proteobacterium
Lineage: Bacteria; Pseudomonadati; Pseudomonadota; Betaproteobacteria
Description: bacterial SSU rRNA
Rfam family: Bacterial small subunit ribosomal RNA
Source: RNAcentral
GAAGCAGGGAUCGCAAGACCUCGCGCUCAUGGAGCGGCCGAUGUCGGAUUAGCUAGUUGGCGGGGUAACGGCCCACCAAGGCGACGAUCCGUAGCUGGUCUGAGAGGAUGAUCAGCCACACUGGGACUGAGACACGGCCCAGACUCCUACGGGAGGCAGCAGUGGGGAAUUUUGGACAAUGGGGGCAACCCUGAUCCAGCCAUGCCGCGUGAGUGAAGAAGGCCUUCGGGUUGUAAAGCUCUUUCGGCCGGAACGAAAUCGGGCGCGUGAAUAACGCGCCUGGAUGACGGUACUGGAAGAAGAAGCACCGGCUAACUACGUGCCAGCAGCCGCGGUAAUACGUAGGGUGCGAGCGUUAAUCGGAAUUACUGGGCGUAAAGCGUGCGUAGGCGGUUUCGCAAGUCAGAUGUGAAAUCCCCGGGCUUAACCUGGGAACUGCGUUUGAAACUACAAGGCUAGA